RNAcentral lists this transfer RNA (79 nucleotides) under Bifidobacterium scardovii. It matches the Rfam family "tRNA". From Rfam's summary of the family: Transfer RNA (tRNA) molecules are approximately 80 nucleotides in length. RNAcentral also lists the same sequence under 1 other name. The record is from Rfam by way of RNAcentral. Lineage: Bacteria; Bacillati; Actinomycetota; Actinomycetes; Bifidobacteriales; Bifidobacteriaceae.
GCCCCUGUGGCGAAAUGGUAUACGCAGUCGACUUAAAAUCGAUCGCUACGGCUUGCGGGUUCGAGUCCCGCCAGGGGCA